UACGUAGGGGGGCAAGCGUUUGUCCGGAAUUACUGGGCGUAAAGCGUGCGCAGGCGGCUUUCCAAGCGCCACGUGAAAAGCCCCCGGGCUCAACCCGGGAGGGUCGUGGCGAACUGGGGACUUGAGGCCGGUAGAGGUGGGUGGAACUCCUGGUGGAGUGGUGAAAUGCGUAGAGAUCAGGAAGAACACCCGUGGCGAAGGCGGCCCACUGGGCCGGUACUGACGCUGAGGCACGAAGGCGUGGGGAGCGAACGGG
This 256-nucleotide ribosomal RNA is filed under the name uncultured bacterium. RNAcentral's name for it is "partial 16S ribosomal RNA". It matches the Rfam family "Bacterial small subunit ribosomal RNA", at positions 524 to 776 of the family's 1533-position model. The record is from RNAcentral.